GUGCUCGCUUCAGCAGCACAUAUACUAAAAUUGGAACGAUACAGAGAUUAGCAUGGCCCCUGCACAAUGAUGACAUGCAAAAUCGUGAAGUGUUCCAUAUUUUU
Molecule: small nuclear RNA, 104 nt
Organism: Rattus rattus (black rat)
Lineage: Eukaryota; Metazoa; Chordata; Mammalia; Rodentia; Muridae
Source: RefSeq, a predicted model, not a curated record